Sorex araneus (European shrew) is the source of this 272-nucleotide small nucleolar RNA. The record is from Ensembl. NCBI's taxonomy places the organism in Eukaryota, Metazoa, Chordata, Mammalia, Eulipotyphla, Soricidae.
UUUCUGUAGUCUAGGACUCACACAGGGUUGGUGGUAGCCUACAGCACACCACAUUUGCAAAAAAAGCAUCCUCUCCAGAAAGUUGAGGCAUUACUCCCCAGGUUCCAGAAAUUCAUAUACAGUUUUCCUCUGACAUUUCUCCUGCACUGUUGCCAGGAGGAUGAAAUUGGUCAAUUUUGUUAUCUAUCUGCAACAGGAAGAAAAGUUUUACAAUCAGGAUAUUGUUUAACAGACGGAGUGGUUUCUCUUAGACACUAAGUACUGUGUAAUUC